GUGCUUGCUUUGAGAAUAUAUACACUAAAAUUGGAAUAAUACAGAGAUUAGCAUAGCCCCUGAGGAAGGAUGACAUACAAAUUUAUAAGGUUUUCCAGAUAUAC
Trichosurus vulpecula (common brushtail) is the source of this 104-nucleotide small nuclear RNA. NCBI's taxonomy places the organism in Eukaryota, Metazoa, Chordata, Mammalia, Diprotodontia, Phalangeridae. The record is from RefSeq and is a predicted model, not a curated record.